Molecule: ribosomal RNA, 253 nt
Filed under: uncultured bacterium
Lineage: Bacteria
Description: partial 16S ribosomal RNA
Rfam family: Bacterial small subunit ribosomal RNA
Source: RNAcentral
UACGUAGGGUGCAAGCGUUGUCCGGAAUUAUUGGGCGUAAAGAGCUCGUAGGCGGCUUGUCGCGUCGUCCGUGAAAACCUGCAGCUCAACUGCAGGCUUGCGGUCGAUACGGGCAGGCUGGAGUUCGGUAGGGGAGACUGGAAUUCCUGGUGUAGCGGUGAAAUGCGCAGAUAUCAGGAGGAACACCAGUGGCGAAGGCGGCGAUCUGGGAAGAUACUGACGCUGAGGUGCGAAAGCGUGGGGAGCAAACAGG